RNAcentral lists this long non-coding RNA (237 nucleotides) under Sorghum bicolor (sorghum). RNAcentral's name for it is "long non-coding RNA (SBIC_LNC002366)". The record is from RNAcentral. Lineage: Eukaryota; Viridiplantae; Streptophyta; Magnoliopsida; Poales; Poaceae.
GCACUGUAAUAGGUUUAGUUUCAAGCCUGAGCUGAGGUUUUGGUGGCUGUUUCUAGCCUGAGUUUUGCCUUUGCCUUAUGGCUGUCUUUUGUUUGGACCCUUAAGAGCACUGUGAACUGUAAAUGUAAGAUUUUCGCUGCAUGCACGUUCUUCGUUUUGUAAGUUUGACUUGAGACCUCAUACCUCCGUAGAAUUUCUAUGGUUCUCCAAAAUAAUCGAGAAUCAUCUUUUUUUAUU